RNAcentral lists this ribosomal RNA (211 nucleotides) under Tripos fusus. Its description in RNAcentral is "partial Microsporidia small subunit ribosomal RNA". The record is from RNAcentral. Lineage: Eukaryota; Dinophyceae; Gonyaulacales; Ceratiaceae.
UAGCAUAGGGCAUUGAUCAUUGAAAGGUUGUUAUGAAGGAGGAAUUAUUAGUAAGCUUUGGUUAGUUCUUUAAAGUUGAAUAGGAGAUUAAUUUUGUACAUACCGCCCGUCAAGCAAAAAGAAGAGAUGGAGUUUUGUAGCAAAUGUUUUUUGUGGUUACAGCAUGCUAAUUUGUGUUAAGUCGAAACAUGGUUGCUGUUCAGGAAUGAGU